CCCAGACUCCUACGGGAGGCAGCAGUGGGGGAUAUUGCACAAUGGGGGGAACCCUGAUGCAGCGACGCCGCGUGGGUGAAGGAGCGUUUCGGCGCGUAAAGCCCUAUCGGCAGGGAAGAAGGAGGACGGUACCUGACUAAGAAGCCCCGGCUAACUGCGUGCCAGCAGCCGCGGUAAUACGUAGGGGGCAAGCGUUAUCCGGAUUUACUGGGUGUAAAGGGGGCGCAGACGGCAGCGCAAGCCAGGAGUGAAAGCCCGGGGCCCAACCCCGGGACUGCUCUUGGAACUGCGCGGCUGGAGUGCAGGAGGGGCAGGCGGAAUUCCUGGUGUAGCGGUGAAAUGCGUAGAUAUCAGGAGGAACACCGGUGGCGAAGGCGGCCUGCUGGACUGCGACUGACGUUGAGGCCCGAAAGCGUGGGGAGCAAACAGGAUUAGAUACCCCAGUAA
RNAcentral lists this ribosomal RNA (447 nucleotides) under uncultured bacterium. Its description in RNAcentral is "bacterial SSU rRNA". It matches the Rfam family "Bacterial small subunit ribosomal RNA", at positions 330 to 793 of the family's 1533-position model. The record is from RNAcentral.